AUCGCUUCUUCGGCUUAUUAGCUAAGAUCAAAGUGUAGUAUCUGUUCUUAUCGUAUUAACCUACGGUAUACACUCAAAUGCACUGCUGCCAGGCUCGGCCCAGUCCCCUAGGGGGACAAAAAUUAUAGCAGUUUUUUCUAAUUGAAAGUUUAUUCCGUAAUAUUCUCAGUACGGAGCGCUGCAAACGCGCUCCCUUCGCA
Molecule: small nuclear RNA, 200 nt
Filed under: Caenorhabditis japonica
Lineage: Eukaryota; Metazoa; Nematoda; Chromadorea; Rhabditida; Rhabditidae
Description: snRNA CJA48851
Rfam family: U2 spliceosomal RNA
About the family: U2 is a small nuclear RNA (snRNA) component of the spliceosome (involved in pre-mRNA splicing). Complementary binding between U2 snRNA (in an area lying towards the 5' end but 3' to hairpin I) and the branchpoint sequence (BPS) of the intron results the bulging out of an unpaired adenosine, on the BPS, which initiates a nucleophilic attack at the intronic 5' splice site, thus starting the first of two transesterification reactions that mediate splicing.
Source: Rfam by way of RNAcentral